Carassius gibelio (silver crucian carp) is the source of this 577-nucleotide long non-coding RNA. RefSeq lists it as uncharacterized. The record is from RefSeq and is a predicted model, not a curated record. Lineage: Eukaryota; Metazoa; Chordata; Actinopteri; Cypriniformes; Cyprinidae. The transcript has 2 exons.
AGACUUCAAACCAUCCCUCUCCACAGUUGCCUAAGAAAGGCUCAUCAAUAGCAGAGAGCGCCACUCCGCACAACAUGUAUGUCAGAAGCCCCAAAGCAGCACACACAUCAGCACAGAAACUCUCUGACUCUGACCACGAUUAUGAGUCUAUCCAAGAAUCAUUUGAAAACUUCAUUAGUUAAAGGACACUUUGUAUUCAGCUGUGUCUGCAUAGCAGACGUGCCAAAGAAACCCAAGAAAUCAAAGAACCAGCUAAUAUGGAGUCUCCGGUGCACCCAUAGCUAAUGCUAAUCUGAAAUAUUUCAUUGUGUCUAAAUACUCAAAGACAAUGCAAGGUUUAACACAUAUACCAUUUAUUGUAAAUUAUAAAAUGCCAUUUUUAUUGCUUUUUAUGACAUGCUGACCUCUAAAGACAGAAAAUAAGUUAAAAUGAGUAUGCUUCUAUUAAAAUGACUAAAACAAACUAAAAUGAUGCAUUCAUGUACACACACACACACACACACACACACACAUAUACUAUGUAGAUAAGAAAUGGGCUUAUAAAUGCAAUCUGAUGAAUAAAGGUAAUUAGUCUUCA